AAUCGCUAUUAAUCUGUAAAUAUAUAAACGCACAGAGCAUAUAUCACUGAUUCUUGAACACGGUUUCCUUAUAUUUAAAUAAGAUUCCAUGUUAAUGUGUUAAUAGAAAAAUGUAACUUUGACAAUUCAGAUAAAAGUACAUUAUGACUGACAGUAUCAAAAACCUUUUUAAAUCAUGGAAAACGGCACCAACAACACCUGAAUUUAAAUUGUUCAACAAAGUAACACUUUGUUGUCUCUGUAAUAAUAAAGCUGCAAGCAGCGAUUGCCAGGGUUUAAGUGCUUUAAGCACAUAUUAAAAAGACAUUACAUGUUAUUUACCAAGCUUGUAACCAACUGAACCAAUGAUUUUAAAAAAUCAUUUCUGGCAAAUAUUUGGCAUAGAAAUAUUAUGUUUUUUAACAUUUUUGACUGUUAUAGCACAAGCUGUAGUCCGAUCUCCCUAAAACUUUCCAUGCUUGUUUAGAAUCACCUGUCACAUUUACUCACAAAGUUUCAUGAAGUUUUGAGUUUUAAUUUUGGCUUUAUAGGCUUUUGGGUAUAUUUGGGCAGGUCCCUUUUCUAAACGACCCCGCUGUAGCAACAUUUUUUGAUAAUUAUUAACCUAGAGAGUACAAAGAACUGUACUGCAGUGUUUUUUUUUUUUCAGAAAAAAACCUAGGACUAGUUUGCAGAAGUAGUUUUUUUUUUUUUUUUUUUUUUUUUUUUUUUUCUCAAUCAAAUGGUUUAAUUGACAGCAGUGUUUCUAGAGGCAAAGUUGUUGGGAAUGUGGAGGUCUAUCAUAUUGUGUGUAUGUGCAAAAAAACAAUGCAAUAUACAAUUGUUUAUGCCCUUGAAAAAUGAGAUAUUGCAGCACCUUUAGGAUCCUGAGUCAAACAGGCCCACUGAGUUUCAAUCUGAUCGACCUCCGUUAACUUUGUCUAAUAGGUGCUCAAAGUUCAUCGGCUAAGGCAGCCAUGUUUUUUGAGAUACGCAAAUGUCCUUAUAGUACCGAUUUAAUGGUUGCAUAGGUAUAGCCAUUUUUAUGUUUUCCUUCUUAUAGCGCCACCAAGUGGCCAAGCUCUGCAUCUUUUAUCACGUGACCUCAGAUUCAGCGAUUACAUGUGUGGUGUGAGUUUGGCGAAGAUCUCUCAUUCCGUUCAAAGUUAUAGCUGUUUUAGUACAGGCAGCCCUGCCCCUUUCGAACAUUUUGGCAUCCCUUUGGGAUGGUGAGUCGAAAGUUCAACUUUUUAAAAAUAAUUAUUGAUAUUCAUUUUCAGCUAAUCUUUCUGCAUCUUUCUGAUUGAGCAAAAAAUCUAGGACUAGUUCGCAAAAGUAGGUUUUUCAAAAAAUCCGAAAUACCUGAAAAUUUCGUACAGAUGAAUAUGAGACAUGCAUUUUGUCCGGCAUUAGCCAACACUGUAAGCCCGGAUUUUGUAUCUAAUUAAACCAUUUAAUUACAAUUGAACACAAUAUUUAAGUUUUACUGCAUUGCUUAUAAAAUAUAAGUAGAUUCUACUAAUUUGUAGACAUAUUUGAACCUGUGAAUAAACUUAAGUUAAAUUAACUCGUAUUAUGAAAUUUAUCUCCUGACCACGCCUCCUUCACCGGUGCUGCGAGUAACAGCGCCAUUUUGUCACUGUGAUUGUGUAUGAAUUUAAGCUGUGGAUGAAUGUGGAAAUUUAGAUUUAGAUAGUUCUAUUGGCAUUGUUUUCCGCCAUUUAUCUUUUAUCACGUCCCUCGAGAAACUCUUUGUGAUCGGCAAAAGUUGUUGUUCGUCUAAACGACGGGACAUUUCUCAUCCGUUGAUAGCUAGUGUUCUCACUCGCCUGCGCUUGAACCCCUGACUGGCGAGUUCGACUAACAUUUUUUGCCUUUUUCUUUCAAUGAUUUCUUUUUCACUCGAGGAGCUGUUGUUUGUGAGGACUGUAAAUUUAGUUUUACUCAUACAGUAGCCGCGAUUCCAGCCGAGGAGCGACAAAGGUGGAGCUAAUAUGGUUCAGAGUCCUCUUAACGACUAUCUUGUUUUGGAAGAAAGAAGAAAUGGAAGAGAUGCUUUGAAAGUGAGGCAGCUGACAAGACAGACUUCAGUAAGAAUCCUCAGUGUUGAUCAAGAAAGUUCACAGCUCACCUCAUCUAGAGUGGGAAUCAUCUUGGAAGAAAGCUUGGUAAUGGAUGAACUGACCAAUCUCAGGCCUUCUAUGUCCAUUGUUUUCAGACUGAUUUCCCUGCCUACACCUGGACUAUCCUAAGUGUAUGAAAAGUAUUUUAUAUUUUUUGUCGGGAAAAGGUGAGCUGACACCUAAAAUUCAGUAUUGCCAAUAGUGUGAACUCAGAGUGUGGAAAAAACAUAUCGUUUUGAUGCUGUUUGUUGCGAUUCUGAGGAAAACUUGUUUGUGUGCUUAACGAUAAGUUAAUUUGUUGAACUAGUAUCUUUUUUAACUUUUUUUUUUCUCCCAUGUUUUAUGGGGAAAUGUUUUCAGGAUAUGAAAAAAUGGUUUUGUUGUGUUUUCAAUUGAAUAUUUGUAAUUGAAUUGAUUUAAAAUAAAAGGGAAAAUUGCAUUAA
Labeo rohita (rohu) is the source of this 2545-nucleotide long non-coding RNA. RefSeq lists it as uncharacterized. Lineage: Eukaryota; Metazoa; Chordata; Actinopteri; Cypriniformes; Cyprinidae. The transcript is spliced from 3 exons. The record is from RefSeq and is a predicted model, not a curated record.